RNAcentral lists this ribosomal RNA (497 nucleotides) under uncultured bacterium. Its description in RNAcentral is "partial 16S ribosomal RNA". It matches the Rfam family "Bacterial small subunit ribosomal RNA", at positions 28 to 507 of the family's 1533-position model. The record is from RNAcentral.
GACGAACGCUGGCGGCGUGCCUAAUACAUGCAAGUAGAACGCUGAAGAGAGGAGCUUGCUCUUCUUGGAUGAGUUGCGAACGGGUGAGUAACGCGUAGGUAACCUGCCUUGUAGCGGGGGAUAACUAUUGGAAACGAUAGCUAAUACCGCAUAACAAUGGCUGACACAUGUCCUUUAUUUGAAAGGGGCAAUUGCUCCACUACAAGAUGGACCUGCGUUGUAUUAGCUAGUAGGUGAGGUAAUGGCUCACCUAGGCGACGAUACAUAGCCGACCUGAGAGGGUGAUCGGCCACACUGGGACUGAGACACGGCCCAGACUCCUACGGGAGGCAGCAGUAGGGAAUCUUCGGCAAUGGGGGCAACCCUGACCGAGCAACGCCGCGUGAGUGAAGAAGGUUUUCGGAUCGUAAAGCUCUGUUGUAAGUCAAGAACGGGUGUGAGAGUGGAAAGUUCACACUGUGACGGUAGCUUACCAGAAAGGGACGGCUAACUACGUG